Molecule: long non-coding RNA, 472 nt
Organism: Amphiprion ocellaris (clown anemonefish)
Lineage: Eukaryota; Metazoa; Chordata; Actinopteri; Pomacentridae
Source: Ensembl
AUGUUCAGAGGGAGAUGAUGCCACAUCUGGUCCAGCUGAUGGAAGGUCUUGAAGUUCUCUGACUGGCCUCGACUGAAGAUGGUCGUCUCACUGGAUUUAAGAUGCACAAUGAGGGACGUCUACAGAGACUGAGAAAGAGUCUCACCACAUCCUGACAUGAGGAAAAAGACUUUAUUGAAGACUACAAUGAGAAAAACUAUCAGACAGCAGACGGCUGCAUUCAAGGCUACAGGAGGAGCCCUACGAGGACGAGCCGGUCCACCUGAUGGCGGCCAGUCGCUGCGGUUCAAAGCCAACACCGACUACAUGGACUUCUACUGGACCACACGGAGGCCUUCAAACCGGACCAACAAGUUCAGCGACUCCCCGACUCGUGGGUCUGAGGACGCCGCCGAGCCUCGGUCCAGCCGGCCUCCUGUCUGUGGGUGUUUGAGUGCUGAGAGGUUUGUGGAUGCAUGUGAACAUGUCUGUG